Molecule: ribosomal RNA, 253 nt
Filed under: uncultured bacterium
Lineage: Bacteria
Description: partial 16S ribosomal RNA
Rfam family: Bacterial small subunit ribosomal RNA
Source: RNAcentral
UACGUAGGGUGCGAGCGUUAAUCGGAAUUACUGGGCGUAAAGCGUGCGCAGGCGGUGCUGUAAGACAGGCGUCAAAUCCCCGGGCUUAACCUGGGAAUGGCGCUUGUGACUGCAGUGCUGGAGUGCGGCAGAGGGGGAUGGAAUUCCGCGUGUAGCAGUGAAAUGCGUAGAUAUGCGGAGGAACACCAAUGGCGAAGGCAAUCCCCUGGGCCUGUACUGACGCUCAUGCACGAAAGCGUGGGGAGCAAACAGG